This 52-nucleotide transfer RNA is filed under the name Calamagrostis pseudophragmites. RNAcentral's name for it is "partial tRNA-Leu". Lineage: Eukaryota; Viridiplantae; Streptophyta; Magnoliopsida; Poales; Poaceae. The record is from RNAcentral.
CAAAAAUCCGUCGACUUUAUAAGUCGUGAGGGUUCAAGUCCCUCUAUCCCCA